GAUCAUGGCUCAGGACGAACGCUGGCGGCGCGCCUAACACAUGCAAGUCGAACGAGCGAGAAGAGAGCUUGCUUUCUCAAGCGAGUGGCGAACGGGUGAGUAACGCGUGAGGAACCUGCCUCAAGGAGGGGGACAACAGUUGGAAACGACUGCUAAUACCGCAUAAGCCCACGGCUCGGCAUCGAGCAGAGGGAAAAGGAGCAAUCCGCUUUGAGAUGGCCUCGCGUCCGA
Molecule: ribosomal RNA, 231 nt
Filed under: uncultured bacterium
Lineage: Bacteria
Description: partial 16S ribosomal RNA
Rfam family: Bacterial small subunit ribosomal RNA
Source: RNAcentral